GCACUAGGCGCCAAAACUUUACAAUGCUGGGAACAGCGACAAGGGAACCUCGAGUGCCAGGUUACAAUUCUGGCUGUCGUGAUCCCUAAAAAGCAUUAUAUAGCAAGGGCCGGGCAAGACCG
This 122-nucleotide ribosomal RNA is filed under the name uncultured archaeon. RNAcentral's name for it is "partial 16S ribosomal RNA". It matches the Rfam family "Archaeal small subunit ribosomal RNA", at positions 332 to 454 of the family's 1478-position model. The record is from RNAcentral.